Pezoporus occidentalis (night parrot) is the source of this 1188-nucleotide long non-coding RNA. RefSeq lists it as uncharacterized. The transcript is spliced from 3 exons. Lineage: Eukaryota; Metazoa; Chordata; Aves; Psittaciformes; Psittacidae. The record is from RefSeq and is a predicted model, not a curated record.
CGGAAAUAUCUUCCGGGAUUAAAACAGACAGAAGAGCUCCCCUUUAUAUGUAUACGCACCUAGACCCCUCUCUGUAGUGAAGCAGUCCACAAGGACCACGGAACUGCAGUGCACACACACACAAAACCCCAAACCAACCACACAACCCCAAACCCACAGAGCAGCAAAUGGAUCUUUGAAAAAGUAAAUACUGCAUGUGACAAAAAACCUCGGUGAUUUUGUUUUCUCAUGCCCUUACUUCUAAACCAGCUGCACAGCCAAGCUCAGGCUGCUUGGCCCUUAUAACUAUCUUGGCACCGAGUCAAAAGCUGAUAAGCAUUUGGGCGAGACAGCUCAACUGCUGUGCUGGAAGAAAAACAGCUGCCAUGAUUGCUGUUUGAUUGAGAGCGCUUACACACACUCACAAAAAAACAUAUCGGGCUGCAAAGACGGGCCACAAAUGCCUGAGGAUUCAGCUUCAGAGGAUCAACACACAUUUCCUUUUUUUUUAAAAAAAAAAAAGUUUUUAUAUAGUUUCUCCUCUGUUCCCCCUCCCCUCUUUUAAAGAAAACGUACUGUGUAGACUUGCUUUUCUUCUUCCCAUCCCCCUCCAUAACCUCAAGCAAACUCAAGGAAUUGUGCCAAAAGUCCCGUUGCUAGUUACCAAGUGCAUUUUUUCAAACGUCCCUUUGAUACUUCUUUCUCUCAUGCUUGCCAUGGAAUAUGCAAGGGCAAAAGGAGGGAAAUGAGGGGGAGAAGGAUGUUUUUUCUCUUUGCCGACUCUAACAUUUGGCUUUUUCCAUUUGUGGCAGAUCACUGUAACGCUAUUGUAAAACAACUUCCUGCCCCUUUUGGCUCACGUUCCAGAAGCUGCUAGGCUAAGUUCAUAGCACAAACUUUUUUCCCCCUUGCCGAAGAAGAGAGACAAAAAAAAAAAAAAUCCCUGCAAAUUAUUUCCCCCUCCAUUCUCUGGCUAAUGGACUCACAAGGUGAAUUUAUUGCAGCUCUUUAAGAAUGUUACACAAGAGACGUCGGUAUCCCAGCUGGAUAAUUCAUAAGCUGAAAAGCAACAGCAUUUCUUGGUACGCCUGCUUUGGCAUACAUCAGCAUUUCUACCCGUCCAAGUGUCCUUUUGCGUCACAUCUCGCCAUUUCAUUCAACCAAUGAAAUCUCCUUCUUGCAAUAAAAAUAUAUAUACUUUUUCUGUUA